This 87-nucleotide unclassified non-coding RNA is filed under the name Pseudomonas libanensis. The record is from RNAcentral. Lineage: Bacteria; Pseudomonadati; Pseudomonadota; Gammaproteobacteria; Pseudomonadales; Pseudomonadaceae.
GUGGGAGGGGGCUUGCCCCCGAUAGCGGUGUGUCAGGCGCUGAUUUAUUCGCUGAGCCACUGCAAUCGGGGGCAAGCCCCCUCCCAC